UGUCUCUGUGAUUAGCGACCUUGGAGCUGCGCCCUGAUGCCCUGAUCCUCAUUAAUGUUGCAAUUAUGGAUUAUUCAGCUACUUCAGGACUUCUGGAUUGUUUCCACAUUUCUGUGUUUGUAAAUACAACUGCAAUGGAUAUGCAUAGAUACCAUGGGGGUGACCAGCCUCCUCUAAGAUGCCUUCCCAUCACAAGGAACCAGGUGACUCCAGGCAAAGCAAAAGGCCAAGUGAGCACAACCUGAGACGACUGAAACGAUGGGCAUACACGUACCACGGCAUUGGUGUCACGUCAGAGGACCACUUUGUGGAGUCAAUUCUCUCCUUCCACUUUUACAUGGAUUCUGGAAAUCAACUCAGGUUGACAGAUGCACCAGAUUCUCCCAAUGAUUCAAGGACACCAAAUCUCGUCGUUUCUUUGUGAUCAUUAAGGCUUUUGGACAAACUGAAUGGCAAACAGAUCAACAGAUAUCCUCCCACCAUGGCCACGGUUAAGUUCAAGAUAUUGCAAGGGACUGCAUAAUGUGGACUUGAGAGUUUGAACUAAAGAAAUUCCAGAUUUCCCCUCGUGCCUCAUGAGAGAUCUUGCUCUCCAAGCGAGUGUCACAGCUGACAAUGAGGCUGUCACACCUCCUUCAACUUGACUUGUAGUUUAGUCUUCUCGUUUUGCAAUCAUAUUUAUCUCUUGCUUUUCAUCUUUAUUUUUUCAAAACUGUAAAUUUAAUUUAUCUUAUGCAUAUA
Molecule: long non-coding RNA, 741 nt
Organism: Peromyscus maniculatus bairdii (prairie deer mouse)
Lineage: Eukaryota; Metazoa; Chordata; Mammalia; Rodentia; Cricetidae
Source: RefSeq, a predicted model, not a curated record